CAGCACAGAGCCUGACGCGGGGCUCGAACUCACUGACCAUGAGAUCACGACCUGAGCUGAAGUCGGACGCUUAACCGACUGAGCCACCCAGGCGCCCCCCCAAUAGGCCAUUCUUGACUGUUACCAGCAAAAAAGUUAUCCUGGGCUCAAUACAUUUGUGUGAAAUUUUAAGCUUCUUAUGAUGUACUUGAAGAGUCUGGUGCACAGUUGCCGGUAAAGUGAGUUGGGACGAUGGGCCGAGCCGAGGUGGCCAGUGGUCCUGGUGGGGAGACACGAGGAGGAGGAGGAGGGGGUGGGGGGAGACGAGUCACCGGCAAAUGCUAGGAAGACAGGGAGGCUCCCAGCCGUCCUGGGCUCCAUCCACCGCCACUGUCGCGCAGCGUCCCCGAGUACCACUUGCUCCCCAGGGAAAACCUCAGUCGGCUCCCUACUUCCCACCGUAUGACACCAAGUCUAAGUGCUGGCUUGGCUCUCAUAAAGCCCGACGAGGCAGCCACUAAGACCAGCAAGCUUUUUGUUCCAGUUGCUCCUUUCCUGCCACUCAAAAGCAGAGGAAGGACUUCAACGCUUGGAAUAUCCUUCUUUUGCACCCAUAGCUCCGGCAGGGCGAGGGAUGCCCUCUUCCCUCUUCCUACACUCCCCACCUGGGCACAUGCAUAAACGCUCGCGGAGCCAGUGCCGCAGCGUGUGUUUUCCGGUCUCUUCUUCACACCCUCAUCACCCGCUCUUUAUCCAAGCUGACGAUAGGCUAAAAAGAGGCUUCUCACAUAAUCUCCAUCAUUGCCCCCGCCAGUCAUGCUGGGGUAAUGGUAACAAAAGCUGACAUUCAUGAACAGAAUGGAAAGGGCCCUGUUCCUACGCCGGCAAAAGGCUCGUUUGCAGUGAACAAUUCAGGGCAGUAAAGAACUGGAGAGGAUCUCGGGAGGGAAAGGAGCGAGUGGCUAUAUUCCUAUUAAAAAAGGCAAGUGAAUAGGGCUUCCAGAAAGAGACAAGUCUGACAGAGACAUGCUUCAAUGCUGUUUCUAUCAAGACUUCAUCUUAACUUAUCUUUAAACAAGAGUAUCCCUGGCCCAUAAAUACUCGAGUUCUUUGACUUUUGCAGAUAGCUUAAAACAGUGAAUUAUCUAAAGCUUUAUCAGUUUAAAGAUUUCACUUAGAAUAGCUUGGUUUUUAGUUUACAGCCUUAUUCUGAAUUUGCCUUAGCCCCGUGAAAAGUCUAGAUAAUUUAUGUUUCAUGUUCUCUUAAAGUACUCGGAACAGUAAUGUCAAAGGCUAAACCAGAACUCAACCAAUUAAAAUAAUGGCCUCUACUGCCUGCAGACUCCUCUGGUGCGGUUUUAAAGAUUAACGUAGACACAUUCAAGAAGUAUGGCUUCUGUCUUGGGAAACUUUACAGGCGAGAAAGAUGGCGUUGUUUCAAGAUAAUAACCAUAAUGACAGAAAUAACACCGCUGAAAAUAAUGUGGUAGAGAUUGCCAGUGCAUUCUUCAUGCCCGUUCUUUGAAGAGAGUUUUGAUUUUGUUGGGAGAAGCCAAGUGCAAAGCCUUCAUUACUCAUGGGUGGAGGGGAGGCCCGUGACUGACUUCAGACCCGUGUCACGUAAGCGAAAGUUGUCGGGUAGGGCUUUUCCAGGAAAGCUCCUUAAAAGCAGGCACACUCAGCUGGUAGUAUCUUUUUGCCCUUUAGCCUUCAGUUCUUUCUGCCGGGGCCGAGCACACGAGGCCACGGCAGAGCGGCCACCUUGGACCUCAGAGGCGAUCACGAGGGAAGGGCCAAGAUUACCGCAGUGAUCUCAGGCCUGAAUUCUUGAGCUGCUGAACCACAGCCUGUCAUGGCCCUGCCUCUUCACUUCUUGUGAAAGGCGAAGCCCAGGAGAAAACGCCGAUGUUUGACACUUUCUGUCGCCGAGCUCCACCUUAGACGUGUGAAACCAGACGUGCGUGUGACAGAUCCAACCAGAAGGAGGCGGCACCAGUUACCUCCGGAUUCUGGUCUCCGUCUCCCUCUAACCGCCGCUCUAUCCUGCCACUGGCAUUUUCUUCCAUCGCUCCCGAUUCAGAAAACAGGACGCAGGCCCUUCACGACCCGGUCCAAGUCAACUGUUCCGAGUUCUAGCAAAACGCCUCAGUCCACUGAUACCUGGUCAGACUAACCAGCUAAAUUCAGCGGUCUGAGCUUCGUAGGUUAAAGAUUCACCGAAGGACAUAAACCACCAAAAAGAAAAUCACUUCUUACAGUAACCAAAGGCCGAAAGAUCGACUCUCUGUCGCUUGGGACUCUCUUUCUUUUGAAAAGUUUUAAAACAUCUUAAAGCACAAAAGGGAAAAUGCUUUGCUAUUUUGGGCCUCUUCUUUCACUCUUGUAAAUGACAUCUGCAAUGUCAACAUUCAGCGAGCGCUAUUCGGAAUUUGGCACUUUUAAUUCAUGUGAAAAUGCCAAUUCCACUGAGUAAAGAAGAUAUUAAAGUUAUAUUCAACAUAAAGUGCAAAUAUUUCAUCAAAGUGGGUUCAGGAUAAAAAUGUUAAUUAUAUGUAAAAAUUAAAUACCACCUUAUGAAUCA
Molecule: long non-coding RNA, 2560 nt
Organism: Felis catus (domestic cat)
Lineage: Eukaryota; Metazoa; Chordata; Mammalia; Carnivora; Felidae
Exons: 2
Source: RefSeq, a predicted model, not a curated record